Molecule: ribosomal RNA, 253 nt
Filed under: bacterium
Lineage: Bacteria
Also listed under: 2 other names
Description: partial 16S ribosomal RNA
Rfam family: Bacterial small subunit ribosomal RNA
Source: RNAcentral
UACGUAGGGUCCAAGCGUUAAUCGGAAUUACUGGGCGUAAAGCGUCCGCAGGUGGCUUGAUAAGAUAGACGUGAAAUCCCUGGGCUCAACCUAGGAAUUGCGUUUAUGACUGUCUCGCUAGAGUAUGGGAGAGGGGGGUGGAAUUCCACGUGUAGCAGUGAAAUGCGUAGAGAUGUGGAGGAACACCGAUGGCGAAGGCAACCCCCUGGCCUAAUACUGACACUCAUGGACGAAAGCGUGGGGAGCAAACAGG